GGGAGAAGCCGACUUCCCGCCGAGCAGGAAGCCCGAUGUGGCUCAAUCCCAGGACUCCGGACCAUGACCCAUGACCCGAGCCAAAGGCAGAUGCUUAACAACUGAGCCACCCAGGUGCCCCUUUGCAUGCCUGCCUUGUAUUCAAGGUGAGAGAUGCUGCAGGCCUCAAUGAGGGAAGUUGUGGUAGGGAUGGUGAGAAAGGAAUGGUUUCUUCUAGAAAAUGUAGGAGUAAAAUCAUUAGAACUAAGUGACUGGAUUUUGGGGGCAAGGAUAAAGGAAGAGGCUCAGAUUGCUCUUAGAUUUCUGCCUGGUAAUCAGGUAGAUUAGUAGCACCGUUAAUUGAGACUAGACAGCGGAGAGUAGCACAUCAGGAGUGAGUGCAGUAUGGGACAUUUUGACAUCCAGGUCCAGCAGACAGAUAAAUAUAUCCAAAGCAUGGGAGAGUUCAGAGCUAGAGACUACGGGGUUAGCUGCAGUCAGUGCCGUUCCAGCCACAAGUGUGCAUCAGACGUAGGCGGUUCUUGGAAGCAGAAUGAAAACGGUACAUAGAGGAGUAGGAAUGUUUGAGCAGCAGUAGAGAAUGUCUUACAAAGGAGAUUGGUCAUAACUUCUCAAAAGCCAAGAGCAGUAUCACGGAACUCAAGGAAGAGAGAGUUUAUGUUUGAAAUGAACGAAAUAUCAAAUGCUCCAGUAGAGGCUAGUUAAAUAUGUACUAAAACCUUGCCAAUAGCUAUGACAGUUUGGUGAUCUUUGUUGUUCUCAGGAAAAAGGGAAGGAGUGAGAGCCUAACUAGAGAGGUGCACAGGGUUGAGGAGAGGAUUUUGAUAAAAGUGAAAAAGACUGAGCAUGUUGAUGCACUGAAGGUGAUGAUAGCAGCUAACACUGAAAAUGUACUGGAUUCCAGGCCCCUUUCUAAGGGCUUUCCAUGUGUUAACUCAUUUACUCCUUACAGCAACCCUAUGAAGUAGAUACUGUUUCCCUCAUUUUACUGAGGAAAGUUAACCACAGACUGUUACAUGCCUGACAGCUGUUGAAAGAGCAGAAUGAGAAUUUGAACCCUGGGAUUCUGACACAAUAGCCCAGUUACUUACCACUGUCCCGUACUGCCUCCAUAGAAUGGUGGAGCUUGUAGAUGCGGGGAAGAGAAGUGCUAAUUAAUGGAUCCAGUUCAGAAAAGACUGGAGAGGAUAAAGUUUCUCUCCAGAAAAGACUGGAGAAGAUAGAUGGGAGUUUCGGUCUUGAAGAAGAGUAAGGAUAUUUUAUGCUUGAAGACCAGAAACCGGGGCUACAGGUGGAGAUGGCCGGAGUCAUGGUCGGCAAGAAUGUGAGGAACCCCUGAAGAGUUCAUUACCGAGUGAAUGCUCACAGGAGGAACUUCAGGUGAUAAUUUCAGCUCUUCAUGAUUGGAAUCUUCUACCCAUUCUCCAUCCUUUCCUCUGCGACUGGUGUUUCUGAAGAUAGCAUUGCUGAUAUUUAUUUGGCAAGUGUGUGGUCAACCAUCAUAGGCUUCAGCCGAGUCCUCUGAAGAACUCCCACUCCCACCUGUCCUGAUGCACCUUCUUCACAGGUUUCCUUGCAAGAAGAUGCUAGGUCUUAGUGAGAUUUGGGGACUGGGGGCGUGGGGCUCUUCACAUGGAUGAAAUGCUGGUGAAUCUCCCUUCUCCUACUACCCUGUUAAAUUUAAACUUCUUUCCCUGCAAGAGAGUGAGCAAUCCUACCUGGUACCCAGGGAAGCCUUGUGUGGGAUAUCUUCGUAGAGCAAAGUCGGUCUGUAUGUUCCCUCGCUACGGAGUCGUGGCCUUUCUCAUCAUCAAGGUCUGCACUAAAGUCUGUACUCGAGCCCAGACGGCUGAUGUGUGAGAGCAGGGGCAGGCCUCCAUGGGGCUGCUCAUCACUGUGGCCAGGAAGGAUGGUGGCACACAAAGGCAUUCCAUCGGCUUCUGAGUCUAGAUCUAUAAAUAUAUUUAUUAUAAUAUAACAAGAACUUAACAAUAAACAUAUACUAUGUACAAUACCAUUACAGAGAACCCUGUUUUAUAUCAUUCACAGAAAUAGCCAGUUUUGCUCCAGUGUGAUAAAUGAGGAGAAACGGAAUUGCAAUGUCAUCUGUGUUGAGUCUUGCUGACCGCUAACACCUCCUUUGGAGGCACACGCUCACCAGCGCUAACAUCGGCCCUGCCCCAGGCAGUUAGAAAUUUGUGCUCCAGUCCUUGGGUUCACACUUGCACCCUGUUUGACAUAAAUACUUUAAAUGACAUACAA
Long non-coding RNA from Ailuropoda melanoleuca (giant panda), 2262 nucleotides. RefSeq lists it as uncharacterized. The transcript has 3 exons. The record is from RefSeq and is a predicted model, not a curated record. NCBI's taxonomy places the organism in Eukaryota, Metazoa, Chordata, Mammalia, Carnivora, Ursidae.